RNAcentral lists this ribosomal RNA (525 nucleotides) under uncultured bacterium. RNAcentral's name for it is "partial 16S ribosomal RNA". It matches the Rfam family "Bacterial small subunit ribosomal RNA", at positions 355 to 896 of the family's 1533-position model. The record is from RNAcentral.
UGGGGAAUAUUGGACAAUGGGGGCAACCCUGAUCCAGCAAUGCCGCGUGUGUGAAGAAGGUCUUCGGAUUGUAAAGCACUUUCGACGGGGACGAUGAUGACGGUACCCGUAGAAGAAGCCCCGGCUAACUUCGUGCCAGCAGCCGCGGUAAUACGAAGGGGGCUAGCGUUGCUCGGAAUGACUGGGCGUAAAGGGCGUGUAGGCGGUUUACACAGUCAGAUGUGAAAUCCCCGGGCUUAACCUGGGAGCUGCAUUUGAUACGUGUAGACUAGAGUGUGAGAGAGGGUUGUGGAAUUCCCAGUGUAGAGGUGAAAUUCGUAGAUAUUGGGAAGAACACCGGUGGCGAAGGCGGCAACCUGGCUCAUGACUGACGCUGAGGCGCGAAAGCGUGGGGAGCAAACAGGAUUAGAUACCCUGGUAGUCCACGCUGUAAACGAUGUGUGCUAGAUGUUGGGUAACUUUGUUAUUCAGUGUCGCAGUUAACGCGUUAAGCACACCGCCUGGGGGAGUACGGCCGCAAGGUUG